Molecule: unclassified non-coding RNA, 208 nt
Filed under: uncultured Clitopilus
Lineage: Eukaryota; Fungi; Basidiomycota; Agaricomycetes; Agaricales; Entolomataceae
Description: sequence contains ITS2
Source: RNAcentral
AAUUCUCAACUAUACAAGUUUUUUUUCAAGACAUGUAUAGCUUGGACUUUGGGAUUUUGCGGGCUUUAACAAGUCGGCUAUCCUUAAAUGCAUUAGCAGAGCUUUUGCCGCUAAUCAUUGGUGUGAUAAUUAUCUACGCCGUCUGACUCUGAAACAAGACUUGUGGGGACCUGCUUAUAACUGUCUCUUCGGAGACAAUCUUGACAAU